This 370-nucleotide ribosomal RNA is filed under the name uncultured organism. Its description in RNAcentral is "bacterial SSU rRNA". It matches the Rfam family "Bacterial small subunit ribosomal RNA", at positions 526 to 896 of the family's 1533-position model. The record is from RNAcentral.
CGUAGGGUGCAAGCGUUAAUCGGAAUUACUGGGCGUAAAGCGUGCGCAGGCGGUUUCGUAAGUCUGUCGUGAAAUCCCCGGGCUUAACCUGGGAAUGGCGAUGGAGACUGCGAGGCUAGAGUUUGGCAGAGGGGGGUAGAAUUCCACGUGUAGCAGUGAAAUGCGUAGAGAUGUGGAGGAACACCGAUGGCGAAGGCAGCCCCCUGGGUCAAAACUGACGCUCAUGCACGAAAGCGUGGGGAGCAAACAGGAUUAGAUACCCUGGUAGUCCACGCCCUAAACGAUGUCUACUAGUUGUUGGGUCUUAAUUGACUUAGUAACGCAGCUAACGCGUGAAGUAGACCGCCUGGGGAGUACGGUUGCAAGAUUA